UCAUUCAUUCAUUUUGGGAGAUGAAAUGUAUAUUUCAUCAAUUCCCUAAAUCCAAUGAUUUUAACUCAAAAAAGUCAAAUCAAUCUUGACCAAGGCCCAACAACACAAGUCCAAUUCCACAAGUCAAUAUUAGAAGCUCAACACAAUUUAUUUUGCAUUUAAAUAAUUAAAAUCAAUUAAAAUAUGCAUUAUAUUAAAUUAUGGUUUAUCAAAAUCCUAAAACGUCAUCAAAACACCAAAGAAAU
RNAcentral lists this long non-coding RNA (245 nucleotides) under Lathyrus oleraceus (garden pea). Its description in RNAcentral is "Pisum sativum (pea) long non-coding RNA (PSAT_LNC033254)". The record is from RNAcentral. Lineage: Eukaryota; Viridiplantae; Streptophyta; Magnoliopsida; Fabales; Fabaceae.